CACCCCGCGCUCCCCGCCGGAAAGCAGCCCAUUACGGGCGAGGACAACUUCCCCCAGCAAGAAAAUUAACACAUUCUUCUCGCGGCGGUUCGGCCCCCCGCUCUGGGGAAGAAGAGAGGAGGGGGCUCGGGGCCAAACUUCACGGGUAAAUUUGGGGCCAGAGCAACGAAGCAGGCGCCUGGGACACCCGCCUCCCACAGCUCCGCAGCUAGAGGAACACCCCCAUUCUCCCUCCCUGGCUUUGCAUGCUGCUUGGCCACGCGGGGCUCAGGAGACAGCCUGAAAGACUCCCUAAGGCUAGGGAGGAAGGGAGAAAGAGGCCGCGGAGAGCAGUGGUGGUCGGGGGUGAUACUUUGACGGAAAAAAAAAAAAAGGUCAAACUUGGUCAGCCCGCCAGGCACCCCGCGGGCAGCGGGGGCGAGGAGCCUCAGGGGAAAUGUAGAAGUGGCCACCGCCCCCUCCAAGUGGAGGGGGAGACUCAGCCACGCGUCGUCCUGGGCGUUAGAGCAGUAAUGCCCCCAAAACACAGGGCUGCGAAUGGGGUCUGUUGGGGGGAGUGCGCGCCGGAGAUCUCCAAUCAGCCGCCCCCGCAGGCGGAGCGCCCGCCCAACACCGAGAGUGAUCUGCGACCGAGCUGACUGCGGCUUGGGGAGGCUUGAGUAUAGAAGAGGCCAUCGAGCAAUCACCGGAGCUAGGGAUCCCAGCCUCCGGGGCUCCGAGGCUCAGACUACGGGCGCCCCCCGCCACACCCAAACACGGACCCCUCUUUUCCCGUCCCUGGCUCUCCGCACCUGAACUUCGGGGGAGCCCGCGCCGCCAAACUUUCCGCAGACUUGCAGCGAACUCCGGCCCCGGCCGCGCACCGGGCCCCGGGGGAGGAGAGGGAGGCUGCUGGCCCCGGCCAGGAUCCUGAAUGGCUUUUUAGCACGCUCUAAGUUCUACAUUUGGGAGCUACCAGAUGACAAACCUGACUGGCUGAAAGCCGGACUGGCCUUGGGUACCUCCAUCUUCUUGUGGAUCUAUCUCAUCAAACAUAAUGAAGAUAUUUUAGAAUAUAAAAGAAGAAAUGGGUUGGAAUAAACUUUUGAUAUACUAAUACAGUAUGUCCCAUAUAGUGAUUAUAACUGUUCCUCUGGAUUUACCAAUCUGUUGAGUUAUAAACAUAAGAGAAAAAGUUUUACGUGAUAUUACGUUGAGUCAGCAUUUGUGCUUUGCUUAAAUGGGAAAAAAAAAAUCUGCUUUCUCUACCAUCACAAUCACCAGAAUAACCCAUCACGUGAAAUAAAGACUGUUUCACAAAG
Long non-coding RNA from Orcinus orca (killer whale), 1301 nucleotides. RefSeq lists it as uncharacterized. NCBI's taxonomy places the organism in Eukaryota, Metazoa, Chordata, Mammalia, Artiodactyla, Delphinidae. The transcript is spliced from 3 exons. The record is from RefSeq and is a predicted model, not a curated record.